AUGACCACUGCUCAGCAGCAUACAAACAUGGUUCAUGGCCAAAGGAAACAAGUGAAACAUUUAAUUCUGGAUGCCAUCUGUGGCACAAAACAACCAAGGUGCCAGUUUUAUUGCUGUGUGAUUACAGGCAGCUCAGUAGCCAAACUUGCCUUUGGUUCUGGUACAAAACUUACUGUAGAAGCUGAUAUUCAAAAAAAUCCACCAUCAGUCUACAUUCUUCAACCAAAGGAUAGCAGAAGUGACAUUUCACCAGUGUGCCUUGUCACUGAUUUCGCACCAAGACAAAUCGAUGUAUCAAUUAAUGAACACCGUUUAAAUGAAAGCGAUGCUUCAGUUCUUAUUAACGAUAAGAGCUAUGGGGUUGUUGGAUACCUGAAGAGGACAGAAGGAAAAUUUUCAUGUAUUGCUACCAAUGAACUAAAAUCAGUUCCUGGAAAGCCAGACACUACCCCAGGUGAUCAAUGUGUGAACAUGGAUGAUAUCUUUGAAACAGAUGAGAAACUAAAUUUUAUGUCUUUAGCUACUCUGGGAUUACGAAUUAUCUUCCUUAAAAGCAUCAUUUUUAACGUACUUAUGACAGUCCAUGCUAUGUCAUCUUAAGAUUGAAAACCAUGUAAGGACUUGUUCCCAGAAAUGAAAUAAAACUGUCAGAACAUUCCACUCCUCAAAUAA
This is a non-coding RNA of Protopterus annectens (West African lungfish), 672 nucleotides long. The record is from the annotation of a RefSeq genome assembly. Lineage: Eukaryota; Metazoa; Chordata; Ceratodontiformes; Protopteridae.